This 253-nucleotide ribosomal RNA is filed under the name uncultured bacterium. RNAcentral describes it as "partial 16S ribosomal RNA". It matches the Rfam family "Bacterial small subunit ribosomal RNA", at positions 524 to 776 of the family's 1533-position model. The record is from RNAcentral.
UACGUAGGGCGCGAGCGUUAUCCGGAAUUAUUGGGCGUAAAGAGCUCGUAGGCGGUUUGUCACGUCUGCUGUGAAAACUGGAGGCUCAACCUCCAGCCUGCAGUGGGUACGGGCAGACUAGAGUGCGGUAGGGGAGAUUGGAAUUCCUGGUGUAGCGGUGGAAUGCGCAGAUAUCAGGAGGAACACCGAUGGCGAAGGCAGGUCUCUGGGCAUUAACUGACGCUGAGGAGCGAAAGCAUGGGGAGCGAACAGG